GGUGGCUCACUGGUAGAGCGCUAGCCUUGCAUGCAUGAGGCCCUGGGUUCGUUUCCCCAGCACCA
Non-coding RNA from Dipodomys ordii (Ord's kangaroo rat), 65 nucleotides. The record is from Rfam. Lineage: Eukaryota; Metazoa; Chordata; Mammalia; Rodentia; Heteromyidae.